Molecule: non-coding RNA, 74 nt
Organism: Ameiurus melas (black bullhead)
Lineage: Eukaryota; Metazoa; Chordata; Actinopteri; Siluriformes; Ictaluridae
Source: the annotation of a GenBank genome assembly
GGCAGUGGUAGCUCAGUGGUUAAGACAUGGGUCUGCUGCUCAGAAGAUCAUGAGUUCAAACCCCAGUACUGCCA